Molecule: ribosomal RNA, 303 nt
Filed under: uncultured bacterium
Lineage: Bacteria
Description: partial 16S ribosomal RNA
Rfam family: Bacterial small subunit ribosomal RNA
Source: RNAcentral
AGCAGUAGCCGCGGUAAUACGUAGGUGGCAAGCGUUGUCCGGAAUUAUUGGGCGUAAAGGGAGCGCAGGCGGACAUAUAAGUCCAUCUUAAAAGUGCGGGGCUCAACCCCGUGAGGGGAUGGAAACUGUAUGCCUUGAGUGCAGGAGAGGAAAGCGGAAUUCCCAGUGUAGCGGUGAAAUGCGUAGAUAUUGGGAGGAACACCAGUGGCGAAGGCGGCUUUCUGGACUGCAACUGACGCUGAGGCUCGAAAGCCAGGGGAGCGAACGGGAUUAGAGACCCGUGUAGUCCCUGUCUCUUAUACA